This is a long non-coding RNA of Peromyscus californicus insignis, 1786 nucleotides long. RefSeq lists it as uncharacterized. Lineage: Eukaryota; Metazoa; Chordata; Mammalia; Rodentia; Cricetidae. The record is from RefSeq and is a predicted model, not a curated record. The transcript has 4 exons.
CUCUCAGUGAUACUGCGAGGGAAGAUUCAAAAUAAAGUGUUUUUGUUCCCAGCAGCGGAGUAUCUCCUGUCCCUCUGUGGAUGCCAAGGAGACUCCUGUUUAUGGUGAUGGUUGUGGAGCUCCAAGAGAGGGGAUGCUUUCCCUCUCACGGCUGGGAGCUACCAAGCUAGAUUCAUGGGUUCUAGAAGAAGGCAGUCCCGCAGAAUAAAGGGCUCAGAGAUCACUGCAGAAGAGGGGAUGGGAAAGACUGUUAAGAGCCAGAAGUGGAUUUGGAUGCAAAUCUCUCAGCUACUGUUCCAGUACCAUGCCUGUUUGCUUCCCAACAGAAUGACUAACCCUCUAAAACUAGUGCCAUUUUCGUUUCCUGAUUCCAAUGAUGUCUGGCUUGAACUUAGCUCAUAGAAGACCCCUGCAUCCCUUGUGCCAGAUGGAUUGGAUUAGUGAUCAGGACUAUAAAGAAACUUCAAGACAGUUGGGGGCAAAGAUUUGGAUGUUUCUGAGAUCUGUGUGCUGUAUACAGUUGGCAAAACACAUGGCAGUAAUGGCUUGUGCCCCCAUCAAGUCACUGCUCAUCUCUUAAGAUGUAUUCAGGGCCUGUGUCGUCCAAGUCCACAAUGCAUCAGCUUGCUUCAAGUGUUUGAGAGAGAACUAAUCUUCAAAUUGUCCAACCUCCUUUUACCUCAGAGACAUUUUUAUUUGUUUAUUUUAUAUCCUGCCUCAUUCCAAAAAAGGUUUUGAGGAGAGCGAAGAAACUGAAUGGCACGGGUCAGUGAGAAAGAAACUAGAAACGACAUUCCCCAAUUCGACACUAUUUUCUGAAACAAUGUCAAGCCCUUACAAGGAUGGGAAAAUAGCUAAGUCACAUACCGUGAAAGUCAAGGAUUCUCUCUUAGGGAAUAAGUGUCCUGGAGCUACUGUCCUCCCAGGACAUUUGUGAGCUUAGCAGUUUGGAAUGUCAACAAAAAGGGUGAUUAGGGGCAGAGGCCUGCAGGAGGCUUUGUGGCCCACUCAUUGAUCAACGCAUGGAGCAGAGACAGAACUGGAAAUUGUGUGGAAAGAAUGUGCAGACUAACCACUUUGCAUUAACAUGCAUGAGACAUUUCUCUUUCCCUAGCAUGAAAUCAAGUAUAAACAAGAACCCUGAGCAAACAGGCCUUCUGAAUACUGUACAGUGAGAGGAUGAGAAUCUGUUCCAUAACUGUUUGUUUUUCGGUAUCUUUCACUGAUCAAUCUUGCAAACAUACAGUCCAGCCAAGGAGAUGCGAUCUUUCACUUGGUUUUGUAAUAUAGUUCAAAGCCACAUCUGGGCUUGAAUUUUUCUGUGUUGAUUCAUAAGAAGGAAAGAAAGUCGAGACGAGAGUGAAGAAAGGAAGAAGAAAGGUGCAAGAGCGUGGAACGUAAUGGGUCCUGCUGGAGCUCUUCACUCUGGAGGGGUUUUAGGACCCGGUAACUGGGUAGAAAUUUGCAGAAGGUUUUGAGCUUACCAAGCAACAGUUGCCACUAGCAAUCUCUGUCACAAGCUGUCCAGGAUAUCUCAGCUAUUGUUGUCCUUUGUAAAGACCCACAGGAGCGGACGAUGGAGAGCACCUGCAUCCAUUCUGCAGUCCCCCACUUUUCCUGGGGAACAUAGGCCUCAGACCACUGAUUAUGUUGUAACUCAAGCACUAUGGCUGGAAAUAGACGCAAGACAAUGGCUGACCAAACUGUGGAAAAUGCGGCUGGCAAUCUGCCCAGCCUAGAGCAGCAACAAGGAUACAUAUGUCAGACGUGUGUGUGUGUGUGUGUG